GCUGGGCAUGGUGAUGCACACCUGUAAUCCCAGCUACUCAGGAGGCUGAGGUAGGAGGAUCACAAGUUUUAAGGCCAGAUUCUAUAACUUUAGUUACACCCUGUCUCAA
Molecule: small RNA, 109 nt
Filed under: Marmota monax (woodchuck)
Lineage: Eukaryota; Metazoa; Chordata; Mammalia; Rodentia; Sciuridae
Source: RNAcentral